Ovis aries (sheep) is the source of this 71-nucleotide non-coding RNA. NCBI's taxonomy places the organism in Eukaryota, Metazoa, Chordata, Mammalia, Artiodactyla, Bovidae. The record is from Rfam.
UCCUGGUGGCUUAGGUGGAAAAGAAUUUGUCUACAAUGCAGGAGACUCAGGUUCAAUCCCUGGAUCGGGAA